UAAGGAAUAUUGCGCAAUGGGCGAAAGCCUGACGCAGCGACGCCGCGUGGGGGAUGAAGGUCUUCGGAUUGUAAACCCCUUUCGGGAGGGAAGAUGGAAUGGGGUAACCCAUUCGGACGGUACCUCCAGAAGCAGCCACGGCUAACUUCGUGCCAGCAGCCGCGGUAAUACGAAGGUGGCAAGCGUUAUUCGGAUUUACUGGGCGUACAGGGAGCGUAGGCGGUUUGGUAAGCCCUCUGUGAAAUCUUCAGGCUUAACCUGGAAAAGUCGGGGGGGACUGCUGGGCUAGAGGACGGGAGAGGAGCGCGGAAUUCCCGGUGUAGCGGUGAAAUGCGUAGAGAUCGGGAGGAAGGCCGGUGGCGAAGGCGGCGCUCUGGAACGUUUCUGACGCUGAGGCUCGAAAGCGUGGGGAGCAAACAGGAUUAGAUACCCUGGUAGUCCACGCCUUAAACUAUGAAUACUAAGUGUCGGCGGUUUACCGCCGGUGCCGCAGCUAACGCAUUAAGUAUUCCGCCUGGGAAGUACGGCCGCAAGGUUA
Molecule: ribosomal RNA, 538 nt
Filed under: uncultured bacterium
Lineage: Bacteria
Description: bacterial SSU rRNA
Rfam family: Bacterial small subunit ribosomal RNA
Source: RNAcentral